GAAUCCUAUGCCACUCCAUCACACACCCCCACCCGCCCGGGUUAGCUUGUGGAGCAGAUAGAGCCACGGGAUAGGUUUCAGUCCCCAAUCCCCUUCUCUUUGCGCAGCACGGCGGCGGCUCUGCUCCGGCGAUAUGUCCACCAACGGCCUCGAGCUCGACGGGGCGUCGCUGUGCCGGCUGGAUCGAUUGGUUCUGUCCUCCCAGUUGAGUCCCAGGAUUCCAUGAGUCCAGCAGAUGUUGGAGAUCAACAAGGAAGGCAAAGCUCGGCCAGAUGUAGAUGCAGCCAGAUAUGAGGUGUGCUCACAAGCCAUGAGUGGCUAGACAGUGGACACGAAGUGGAGACUCAUUGAGAGCUAACCUGCCAAUCAAGAGGCGUGCCAGUAAUGUUUACAUCCAGGUGAUUUUUGAUCAAUUUGGCGAAACUCUGUACAAAGCCGGUGCAUAUGUGCUGGACGAACUAGAACUGAUUAUAUGUCUGCAUUUGAAUUUUAUAGUGUCCAAGUGCUAGUAAUGUACAGAUUUGCUGCGGAUUAAUUAGUUGGUCUAUGGUACUACGUGGUGGUAACUUGAUUAUCUCCCCCUGACGAAUUAUCUGAACAUUGUUAUGGUGUUGGCUGACUACAGACUAUCCGAAAUUAUGAUUUAGGAUGUGUAGCUUUGAGUGUUGCUAGCUUUGGUUGCGGAUGGAACACCAAGACCACUCUGAAUAGUUUUGAUUUUUACAAAACUUCUAGCACCUGAGCUGAA
Triticum dicoccoides is the source of this 748-nucleotide long non-coding RNA. RefSeq lists it as uncharacterized. The transcript is spliced from 3 exons. The record is from RefSeq and is a predicted model, not a curated record. NCBI's taxonomy places the organism in Eukaryota, Viridiplantae, Streptophyta, Magnoliopsida, Poales, Poaceae.